GGACUACUCGGGUUUCUAAUCCUGUUUGCUCCCCACGCUUUCGCGCCUCAGCGUCAGUCACGGACCAGGUCGCCGCCUUCGCCACCGGUGUUCUUCCCAAUAUCUACGAAUUUCACCUCUACACUGGGAAUUCCACGACCCUCUUCCGCACUCCAGCCCCCGCGUCUCGUGCGACACCCCCGGGUUGAGCCCGGGACUUUCACGCCCGACUGCGAGAACCGCCUACGCGCCCUUUACGCCCAGUCAUUCCGAGCAACGCUAGCCCCCUUCGUAUUACCGCGGCUGCUGGCAC
RNAcentral lists this ribosomal RNA (292 nucleotides) under uncultured Alphaproteobacteria bacterium. Its description in RNAcentral is "partial 16S ribosomal RNA". The record is from RNAcentral. Lineage: Bacteria; Pseudomonadati; Pseudomonadota; Alphaproteobacteria.